UACAGAGGAAAUGGAAGUCAGAGUGCUCAAAGUCCAUCUCUUUUCAUGCUUGUUCCCGUAGAAAGCUGUGAUUUCUGCUAUGACAUCCAAAGUCAUGGCCAGUUAAGUCACAGUUGAAUUGUAGUGGUCUGAUAUAUGCAUCAACCACCCUCAAGCUGGUGAUCUUGCUACUCCUCGUGCGUGACCUGUCACAGUGAUGUUCAAAGGACACCUGUGCUAUUUAUAAUAAAUAUUAUCAGACUGAAUUCCACAAACAAAUGCCUUUGCCUUUUGCAGAAUCCUUUCCCUCACCUGUGAAAAAGAGUAAUGCAGCUAGAGAAGUGGCUUUAAUCUUGACCUGAACAGGAUGUGGCUGUUGCCAGCAGGAGGGCUCUGCAGAUUACUGGCAGCUUGUCUCUCAGAUGCUGGCAGACAAGUACUCAGUCUAGUACCAACAUGCUAGGCGGAUUGUCUAGCUCCUAUAGCCUGACACCCAACAGACGUAUCAAGAUGGAAUCUGGAAUUGCUUUAAAGCCCUGGCUUUUUCCUUUAUUUUUACAGUGCUGUCUGACUGCAGCCCUCAUUGCCCUGCAGUUGCCCCGAUGUGACCUAUGCAGCACACUGGUGCCCUUUUGUGCAUAACUUCUUUGUGCCAUGCAGCACCAUCGUGGCCACACCAGCAGACCAGACCAUCUGGCAAAGAGGCCUCUGUCAUUGCUGAGAAGGGGAACAUCAACCAGAACUGUGCUUUGCAGGACACACCUGCCUGCAGAUCUGCUGUUUUCUGUUUGGAGCCUUUAUUGUAGGAAAACCUGCACAUGAAGAAAGGAAAAAAGAAGUAAAUGGAAAACAAACCAGAGUCAUGUCCAUUAAAUUCUUCUGCGGAAAUGCUGGCCUGCCUUCUUCAAGUAUUUGGACCUGCUGCAGAAUAUGCAAGGCAGGUUCUCUGGUCAGCAGUAAUUCUGGGGUCUGGUUCUGCUCUCCCUCAAGAGCUGUCAGUCUUCAGGCAGCUUGUUGCUUUGUGCUCCUUCCACACAGGAGCAGACGAACUCAUGAAUGAAACAUUACUGAUACUGAAGAGAACUCCUGGCAUCCACCUCAGCAGAAGAAACUGA
This 1094-nucleotide long non-coding RNA is filed under the name Anser brachyrhynchus (Pink-footed goose). Its description in RNAcentral is "lncRNA (ENSABRG00000019360.1)". The record is from RNAcentral. Lineage: Eukaryota; Metazoa; Chordata; Aves; Anseriformes; Anatidae.